AAGCUCGUAGUUGAAUUUCGGGGUUAGUAGGUUGGUCAUGCCUCUGGUAUGUACUGGUCUCACUGAUUCCUCCUUCCUUAUGAACCGUAAUGCCAUUAAUUUGGUGUUGCGGGGAAUUUGGGCUGUUACUUUGAAAAAAUUAGAGUGUUUAAAGCAAGCUAACGCUUGAAUACAUUAGCAUGGAAUAAUGAAAUAGGACGUUCGAUCUUAUUUUGUUGGUUUCUAGGAUUGACGUAAUGAUUAAUAGGGAUAGUUGGG
RNAcentral lists this ribosomal RNA (258 nucleotides) under uncultured Glomus. Its description in RNAcentral is "partial 18S ribosomal RNA". It matches the Rfam family "Eukaryotic small subunit ribosomal RNA", at positions 624 to 886 of the family's 1831-position model. The record is from RNAcentral. Lineage: Eukaryota; Fungi; Glomeromycota; Glomeromycetes; Glomerales; Glomeraceae.